GGUCGUCCACCAGUAAAAUGCGGGAAUACAUUUCAGUUCUAGGUCGCCCACCAGUAAAAUGCGGGAAUACAUUUCAGUUCUAGGUCGCCCACCAGUAUAAUGCGGGAAUACAUUUCAGUUCUAGGUCGCCCACCAGUAAAAUGCGGGAAUACGUUUCAGUUCUAAGUCGCCCACCAGUAAAAUGCGGGAAUACGUUUCAGCUCUAGGUCGCCCACCAGUAAAAUGCGGGAAUACAUUUCAGCUCUAAGUCGCCCACCAGUAAAAUGCGGGAAUACAUUUCAGUUCUAGGUCGCCCACCAGUAAAAUGCAGGAAUACAUUUCAGUUCUAGGUCGCCCACCAGUAAAAUGCGGGAAUACGUUUCAGCUCUAGGUCGCCCACCAGUAAAAUGCGGGAAUACAUUUCAGUUCUAGGUCGCCCACCAGUAAAAUGCGGGAAUACAUUUCAGUUCUAGGUCGUCCACCAGUAUAAUGCGGGAAUACAUUUCAGUUCUAGGUCGCCCACCAGUAAAAUGCGGGAAUACAUUUCAGUUCUAGGUCGCCCACCAGUAAAAUGCGGGAAUACAUUUCAGUUCUAGGUCGCCCACCAGUAUAAUACGGGAAUACAUUUCAGUUCUAGGUCGCCCACCAGUAAAAUGCAGGAAUACAUUUCAGUUCUAGGUCGCCCACCAGUAAAAUGCGGGAAUACGUUUCAGUUCUAAGUCGCCCACCAGUAAAAUGCGGGAAUACGUUUCAGUUCUAGGUCGCCCACCAGUAAAAUGCGGGAAUACGUUUCAGCUCUAGGUCGCCCACCAGUAAAAUGCGGGAAUACAUUUCAGUUCUAGGUCGCCCACCAGUAAAAUACGGGAAUACGUUUCAGCUCUAGGUCGCCCACCAGUAAAAUGCGGGAAUACAUUUCAGUUCUAGGUCGCCCACCAGUAAAAUGUGGGAAUACAUUUCAGUUCUAGGUCGCCCACCAGUAAAAUACGGGAAUACGUUUCAGCUCUAGGUCGUCCACCAGUAAAAUGCGGAAAUACAUUUCAGUUCUAGGUAGCCCACCAGUAAAAUGCGGGAAUAUGUUUCAGAUCUAGGUCGCCCACCAGUAAAAUGCGGGAAUACAUUUCAGUUCUAGGUCGCCCACCAGUAAAAUGCGGGAAUACGUUCAGUUCUAGGUCGCCCACCAGUAAAAUGCGGGAAUACAUUUCAGUUCUAGGUCGCCCACCAGUAAAAUGCGGGAAUACAUUUCAGUUCUAGGUCGCCCACCAGUAAAAUGCGGGAAUACAUUCAUGUUCUAGGUCGCUCACCAGUAAAAUGCGGGAAUACAUUUAUGUUCUAGGUCGCCCACCAGUAAAAUGCGGGAAUACAUUAAGUUCUAGGUCGCCCACCAGUAUAAUGCGGGAAUACAUUUUUGUUCCAGGUCGCCCACCAGUAUAAUGCGGGAAUACAUUUCUGUUCUAGGUCGCCCACCAGUGUAAUGCGGGAAUUCAUUUUGUUCUAGGUCGCCCACCAGUAUAAUGCGGGAAUACAUUUUUGUUCUAGGUCGCCCACCAGUAUAAUGCGGGAAUACAUUUUUGUUCUAGGUCGCCCACCAGUAUAAUGCGGGAAUACAUUAUUGUUCUAGGUGGCCCACCAGUAUAAUGCGGGAAUACAUUUUUGUUCUAGGUCGCCCACCAGUAUAAUGCGGGAAUACAUUUCUGUUCUAGGUCGCCCACCAGUAUAAUGCGAGAAUACAUUU
Molecule: long non-coding RNA, 1711 nt
Filed under: Nicotiana tabacum (common tobacco)
Lineage: Eukaryota; Viridiplantae; Streptophyta; Magnoliopsida; Solanales; Solanaceae
Description: long non-coding RNA (NTAB_LNC002586)
Source: RNAcentral